ACGGAAGGCAGCAGUGGGGAAUAUUGGACAAUGGGGGAAACCCUGAUCCAGCGACGCCGCGUGAGUGAAGAAGUAUUUCGGUAUGUAAAGCUCUAUCAGCAAGGAAGAAAAUGACGGUACUUGACUAAGAAGCUCCGGCUAAAUACGUGCCAGCAGCCGCGGUAAUACGUAGGGGGCAAGCGUUAUCCGGAUUUACUGGGUGUAAAGGGAGCGUAGACGGCGAUGCAAGUCUGAUGUGAAAUGCGGGGGCUCAACUCCUGAACUGCAUUGGAAACUGUAUUGCUGGAGUGCCGGAGAGGUAAGCGGAAUUCCUAGUGUAGCGGUGAAAUGCGUAGAUAUUAGGAGGAACACCAGUGGCGAAGGCGGCUUACUGGACGGUAACUGACGUUGAGGCUCGAAAGCGUGGGGAGCAAACAGGAUUAGAUACCCUGGUA
RNAcentral lists this ribosomal RNA (434 nucleotides) under uncultured Lachnospiraceae bacterium. RNAcentral's name for it is "partial 16S ribosomal RNA". It matches the Rfam family "Bacterial small subunit ribosomal RNA", at positions 341 to 792 of the family's 1533-position model. Lineage: Bacteria; Bacillati; Bacillota; Clostridia; Lachnospirales; Lachnospiraceae. The record is from RNAcentral.